GUGCGAUGUUGGCUUGAAAGUCUGAGGUCCAAAGAUAGGUAUCUCUGUUUAUUCAAUAGAAAAGAUAUUAGUUUAAAGAAAUUAGAUUACCUCCCAAUAGUGCUAAGUUUAAUAUCUUCAGCCAGACAAAAUAAGCAAAUUAAACGACAUAAGUUGGUUUAUAGAGAACCAUAGCAUCAUCAACAGAUUCUUUGGACAGUUCCAAG
This 206-nucleotide long non-coding RNA is filed under the name Elaeis guineensis (African oil palm). Its description in RNAcentral is "long non-coding RNA (EGUI_LNC049707)". Lineage: Eukaryota; Viridiplantae; Streptophyta; Magnoliopsida; Arecales; Arecaceae. The record is from RNAcentral.